Molecule: ribosomal RNA, 279 nt
Filed under: uncultured bacterium
Lineage: Bacteria
Description: partial 16S ribosomal RNA
Rfam family: Bacterial small subunit ribosomal RNA
Source: RNAcentral
UGCCAGCCGCCGCGGUAAUACGAAGGGUGCUAGCGUUGUUCGGAAUUACUGGGCGUAAAGAGCAUGUAGGCGGAUGAAUUAGUCAGAGGUGAAAGCCCCGAGCUCAACUUGGGAACUGCCUUUGAUACUGGCAGACUAGAGUAUAGUAGAGGCAAGUGGAAUUCCGGGUGUAGCGGUGAAAUGCGUAGAUAUCCGGAGGAACAUCAGUGGCGAAGGCGACUUGCUGGACUAAUACUGACGCUGAGGAGCGAAAGCGUGGGGAGCAAACGGGAUUAGAUA